This 337-nucleotide unclassified non-coding RNA is filed under the name soil metagenome. RNAcentral describes it as "partial contains 5.8S ribosomal RNA, internal transcribed spacer 2, and large subunit ribosomal RNA". The stretch from base 1 to 120 matches the Rfam family "5.8S ribosomal RNA", at positions 35 to 154 of the family's 154-position model. The record is from RNAcentral.
GAUGAAGAACGUAGCGAAAUGCGAUAAGUAAUGUGAAUUGCAGAAUUCAGUGAAUCAUCGAAUCUUCGAACGCACAUUGCGCCCGCCAGUAUUCUGGCGGGCAUGCCUGUUCGAGCGUCAUUUCAACCAUCAAGCCCCCGGGCUUGUGUUGGGGACCUGCGGCUGCCGCAGGCCCUGAAAAGCAGUGGCGGGCUCGCUGUCACACCGAGCGUAGUAGAUUUUAUCUCGCUCUGGGCGUGCUGCGGGUUCCGGCCGUUAAACCACCCUUUUAACCCAAGGUUGACCUCGGAUCAGGUAGGAAGACCCGCUGAACUUAAGCAUAUCAAUAAGCGGAGGA